CCAUAAGGGNGGNNGCNGUNGGGGGUCUUCCGNCGUGGGCGGNNGCCUGNCGGNGCCCCGCCGCGUGGGUGNUGNNGGUCUUCGGCUCGUCNCCCUCUGUUUUCNGGGNNGAACCAACGUGNUGGUCACUGUGCCCGUCUUGGCGGGCCCUGNUCUGANNGCCNCGGCUCNCUUCGUGCCCGCCGCCGCGGUAUUUCCUAGGUGGCCAGCGUUUUCCGGAAUUAUUGGGCGUAAAGCGCGCGUAGGCGGUUUUUUAAGUCUGAUGUGAAAGCCCACGGCUCAACCCGGGAGGGGCCUUGGAAACUGGAAAACUCGAAUGCAAAAAAGGAAAGGCGAAUUCCCCGUGGUACGGCCGAAUGCCAAAAAAUUGGAGGAACCCCCGGGGCGAAAGGGAACUUCUGGCCCGUAACCGAACCUUGAGUGCCAAACCCGGGGGGAACCACCGGGAUAAAUACCCUGGUAGCCCCCCCCUAAACUAUGAUGCCAAACGUUAA
Molecule: ribosomal RNA, 494 nt
Filed under: bacterium 82_VP7_H7
Lineage: Bacteria
Description: partial 16S ribosomal RNA
Rfam family: Bacterial small subunit ribosomal RNA
Source: RNAcentral